Varanus komodoensis (Komodo dragon) is the source of this 109-nucleotide long non-coding RNA. RefSeq lists it as uncharacterized. Lineage: Eukaryota; Metazoa; Chordata; Lepidosauria; Squamata; Varanidae. The transcript is spliced from 3 exons. The record is from RefSeq and is a predicted model, not a curated record.
AUAAAAUUGAGAGCAGGAAAAAGAGAUGGAUGUGAACCGCUUUGAGUUCACUGUAAGAAAGAAGGUGGGAUAUAAAUCUAAUAAAUAAAUAAAAAAAUGGUUCUUAUGG